UGGGGAAUAUUGCACAAUGGGCGCAAGCCUGAUGCAGCAACGCCACGUGAACGAUGAAGGUCUUCGGAUCGUAAAGUUCUGUUGCAGGGGAAGAUAAUGACGGUACCAUAGGAGGAAGCCCCGGCUAACUACGUGCCAGCAGCCGCGGUAAUACGUAGGGGGCAAGCGUUGUCCGGAAUCACUGGGCGUAAAGGGUUCGCAGGCGGAAAUGCAAGUCAGUUGUGAAAGGCAGAGGCUCAACCUCUGUAAGCAAUUGAAACUGUAUUUCUUGAGAUGUGGAGAGGGAAGUGGAAUUCCUAGUGUAGCGGUGAGAUGCGUAGAUAUUAGGAAGAAUACCGGUGGCGAGAGAGACUUGCUGGACACAAACUGACGCUGAGGAACGAAAGCGUGGGUAGCAAACAGG
RNAcentral lists this ribosomal RNA (403 nucleotides) under Verrucomicrobiota bacterium. RNAcentral's name for it is "Verrucomicrobia bacterium partial 16S ribosomal RNA". It matches the Rfam family "Bacterial small subunit ribosomal RNA", at positions 355 to 776 of the family's 1533-position model. The record is from RNAcentral. Lineage: Bacteria; Pseudomonadati; Verrucomicrobiota.